RNAcentral lists this ribosomal RNA (490 nucleotides) under uncultured bacterium. RNAcentral's name for it is "partial 16S ribosomal RNA". It matches the Rfam family "Bacterial small subunit ribosomal RNA", at positions 30 to 507 of the family's 1533-position model. The record is from RNAcentral.
AUUGAACGCUGGCGGCAGGCCUAACACAUGCAAGUCGAACGGCAGCACAGGAGAGCUUGCUCUCUAGGUGGCGAGUGGCGGACGGGUGAGGAAUACAUCGGAAUCUGCCCAGUCGUGGGGGAUAACGUAGGGAAACUUACGCUAAUACCGCAUACGACCUUCGGGUGAAAGAGGGGGAUCGCAAGACCUCUCGCGAUUGGAUGAGCCGAUGUCGGAUUAGCUAGUUAGCGGGGUAAUGGCCCACCAAGGCGACGAUCCGUAGCUGGUCUGAGAGGAUGAUCAGCCACACUGGAACUGAGACACGGUCCAGACUCCUACGGGAGGCAGCAGUGGGGAAUAUUGGACAAUGGGCGCAAGCCUGAUCCAGCCAUACCGCGUGGGUGAAGAAGGCCUUCGGGUUGUAAAGCCCUUUUGUUGGGAAAGAAAUCUUUCAGGCUAAUACCCUGGGAGGAUGACGGUACCCAAAGAAUAAGCACCGGCUAACUUCGUG